UACGAGAGGCCCAAACGUUAUUCGGAAUUACUGGGCUUAAAGAGUUCGUAGGCGGCGCAGAAAGUAGGGUGUGAAAGCCCUCGGCUCAACCGAGGAAUUGCGCUCUAAACUACUGUGCUUGAGGAAUCUAGAGGUGAGCGGAACUGAUGGUGGAGCGGUGAAAUAUUUUGAUAUUAGAAGGAACACCAAAGGCGAAAGCACUUUGCUCGGACUAAACUGACACUGAGAGACGAAAGCUAGGGGAGCAAACAGG
Molecule: ribosomal RNA, 253 nt
Filed under: uncultured bacterium
Lineage: Bacteria
Description: partial 16S ribosomal RNA
Rfam family: Bacterial small subunit ribosomal RNA
Source: RNAcentral